This is a long non-coding RNA of Chloebia gouldiae (Gouldian finch), 1593 nucleotides long. NCBI's taxonomy places the organism in Eukaryota, Metazoa, Chordata, Aves, Passeriformes, Passeridae. The record is from Ensembl.
GGGGACAUCGGGGACCCCUCUGGGGACCCCUGUGGGGACAUUUGGGGACACCCCCCCCCUGUGGUGCCACCCAGGGGGUCCCCGGGGGUGUCCCCAAGGGGGUCCCCAGCUUCUGGUGGCCUCGGGGACAUCUCUGGUGGCCUUGGGGACAUCUCUGGUGGCCUCGGGGACACUUCAGGUGACCUUGAGGACAUUUCUGGUGGUCUUGGGGACAUCUCUGGUGACCUUGGGAUCAUCUCUGGUGGCCUUGGGAUCAUCUCUGGUGGCCUUGGGGACAUCUCUGGUGGCCUUGGGGACACUUCAGGUGGCCUUGGAGACAUCUCUGGUGGCCUUGGGGGCAUCUCUGGUGACCUUGGGAUCAUCUCUGGUGGCCUUGGGGACANNNNNNNNNNAUGACCGAUCUUGACCCAUCAAUGACCGAUCUUGCCUCAAUGUCUGGUCUUGGGUCAAUGAUGACCAAUCUUGACCCAUCGAUGACCGAUCUUGGGUCAGUGUCCGAUCUUGACCCAUCGAUGACCGAUCUUGACCCAUUGAUGUCCGAUCUUGACCCAACGAUGACCGAUCUUGGGUUAAUGUCUGGNNNNNNNNNNAUCUUGGGUUAAUGUCUGGUCUUGACCCAUCAAUGUCCGGUCUUGACUCAUCGAUGACCGAUCUUGGGUCAAUGUCUGAUCUUGACCCAUUGAUGACCGAUCUUGACCCCUUGAUGACCGAUCUUGACCCAUCGAUGACCGAUCUUGGGCCAAUGACCGAUCUUGACCCAACGAUGACCGAUCUUGACCCAACGAUGACCAAUCUUGACCCAUCAAUGACCGAUCUUGACCCAUCAAUGACUGAUCUUGCCUCAAUGUCUGGUCUUGGGUCAAUGAUGACCAAUCUUGACCCAUCGAUGACCGAUCUUGGGUCAAUGUCUGAUCUUGACCCAUCGAUGACCGAUCUUGACCCAUUGAUGUCCGAUCUUGACCCAACGAUGACCGAUCUUGACCCAACGAUGACCGAUCUUGACCCAGCGAUGACCGAUCUUGACCCAUCAAUGACCGAUCUUGGGCCAAUGUCCGAUCUUGACCCAACGAUGACCGAUCUUGGGUUAAUGUCUGGUCUUGACCCAUCAAUGUCCGGUCUUGACCCAUCGAUGACCGAUCUUGACCCAUCAAUGACCGAUCUUGGGCCAAUGUCCAGUCUUGACCCAUCGAUGACCGAUCUUGGGCCAAUGUCUGGUCUUGACCCAUCGAUGAUCGAUCUUGACCCAUCAAUGACCGAUCUUGGGUCAAUGACCGGUCUUGACCCAUCGAUGACCGAUCUUGACCCAACGAUGACCGAUCUUGACCCAUCGAUGACCGAUCUUGGGCCAAUGUCCAAUCUUGACCCAACGAUGACCGAUCUUGACCCAACGAUGACCGAUCUUGACCCAACGAUGACCGAUCUUGGGCCAAUGAUGACCGAUCUUGACCCAACGAUGACCGAUCUUGACCCAUCGAUGACCGAUCUUGCCUCAAUGUCCGCUCUCCACCCGCCGCUCUCCCCUCCUGACCCUCCGUUCCCGACCCACCCCCCCCUCCUGCCUCCCCACCGCCAACCCCCCGCCCACCACCGCCC